This is a long non-coding RNA of Falco peregrinus (peregrine falcon), 1094 nucleotides long. RefSeq lists it as uncharacterized. The record is from RefSeq and is a predicted model, not a curated record. The transcript is spliced from 4 exons. NCBI's taxonomy places the organism in Eukaryota, Metazoa, Chordata, Aves, Falconiformes, Falconidae.
AAUUGAUGACAUAGACCAUGGAAGCCUGAGACCUUACAUCCCACAUUACCACAUAUUUUGAGAUGCUUUUGGUAGAAAGACUGCCCCCAAAGCAAGCCUCAUUUCCAAACAGCAUCUCUUUCUUCGUAUGCUUCACGUCCAAAAACUUCCUCCACCAAGCCCGGAGCAAGAUGCUGGAGUGCUGCAGAUGCAUUGCAAGAGAGAUGAGAAUGAUGGCCCCCUACCAUGGUGAGCAAGGGGGCUCAUGUGCUGAAAAAUGAGUCUGAAUAGGAAAGGUAGCCAAAGGCAACCCAGCGAUGUCCUGCUGCAGAGGAGAGCGGAGAUGCCAGCUCAGAGAAGGUGGUAAGAGAGUGACCGAUACGACCUGUAUGAUGGAUGGGCUUUGAGAAGGAAGACUUGACAGCUGUUCAAUGUCCACUUUGGGAGCCCUGAAUGAGAGGUCUAAGCCUCAACUGGUGUUGCAGCAUGCUGGAGGAGUCCUCAGAGCUUCAGGGGGCCAGAACAUGCCCCAGGGCUGUCAGGAAAUAUUGGAUUACUGCUUUUCACCCCCCCAUCCAGAAAAGGUAGUGCCUCCCCACCCAUUGCAAUGGGCCAAGAUGUGCCUCACUGCUCCGUGAGGGACUGUGUGCCCAUGCCCAUGCCAUUCCCUCUGUACAGGGAGUUCAUAUUCAUGAGUGCUGCAGCACUUUUUUCUAGGUGUUUAACCACAAGAUGUUGCAGGAGGAACACAGUCAUAGCUGCAGAUAGUAAACUGACCUAUCACUUUAAUUGCUUAUUUCAGCCAGGUGCCCUAAAUGACUUACCUAUUAUUAUUUAGGAGACCUUUGGUAAAGUGGAGACUCGAACAUGCAUGUUCUGGGUUAGUACGUAAAGCUACUGGGCAGUUUUUUCUGUCUAGAGCUUUAUUUGUGGCUCAGAGGUGAAAAGGAAAAAGUUAAAAACUCUCCAGGCAGAGCAGGUACAGUGAAGUCUUUGAUGCCACUGUUAUGUAAACUUGUGGUUUAUUUUUAGCAAUGUUUUCUAAAAAGCAAUGAUCAGAAUUAAUAAAUAAUUCUGUUAUUUCACAUGAAGUAAUUAACCCAUUUUUUUCAGCU